AAGGCUUUAGCUUAAUUAAAGUGUCUGGGUUGCAUCCAGAAGAUGUGAGAUAAAACCUUGCAAGUCUUA
This 69-nucleotide transfer RNA is filed under the name Konosirus punctatus (Konoshiro gizzard shad). RNAcentral's name for it is "tRNA-Ala". It matches the Rfam family "tRNA". From Rfam's summary of the family: Transfer RNA (tRNA) molecules are approximately 80 nucleotides in length. Their secondary structure includes four short double-helical elements and three loops (D, anti-codon, and T loops). RNAcentral also lists the same sequence under 2 other names. The record is from RNAcentral. Lineage: Eukaryota; Metazoa; Chordata; Actinopteri; Clupeiformes; Clupeidae.